GCCCUGACUUCUGCAGAGGCCAUAUCACAUGGCCAAUGCAGACAGCAGAUUGACAAUGCAGUGCCUUUAAGUCAGUCAGACAGUGGCCUUCUAAUCUCUAUGGGGUUCUCUCUACCUGGUUUUAUAACAGAAACGUUGCAGUGGCAUAGCACACAUCUCACAUUCCAGAAUGCAAGAUCAGCGCAGCAAUAUUUACAGGCCAUAGCACAGCACCCGGCUCUACUAAUCAGCUCAGUAGGUAGUAGGCACAGCACCCGGCUCUUCUUAUCAGCUCAGUAGGUAGUAGGUACAGCACCCGGCUCUACUAAUCAGCUCAGUAGGUAGUAGGUACAGGACCCGGCUCUACUAAUCAGCUCAGUAGGUAGUAGGUACAGGACCCGGCUCUACUAAUCAGCUCAGUAGGUAGUAGGUACAGGACCCGGCUCUACUAAUCAGCUCAGUAGGUACAGGACCCGGCUCUACUAAUCAGCUCAGUAGGUAGUAGGUACAGGACCCGGCUCUACUAAUCAGCUCAGUAGGUAGUAGGUACAGGACCCGGCUCUACUAAUCAGCUCAGUAGGUAGUAGGUACAGGACCCGGCUCUACUAAUCAGCUCAGUAGGUAGUAGGUACAGGACCCGGCUCUACUAAUCAGCUCAGUAGGUAGUAGGUACAGGACCCGGCUCUACUAAUCAGCUCAGUAGGUACAGGACCCGGCUCUACUAAUCAGCUCAGUAGGUAGUAGGUACAGGACCCGGCUCUACUAAUCAGCUCAGUAGGUAGUAGGUACAGGACCCGGCUCUACUAAUCAGCUCAGUAGGUAGUAGGUACAGCACCCGGCUCUACUAAUCAGCUCAGUAGGUAGUAGGUACAGGACCCGGCUCUACUAAUCAGCUCAGUAGGUAGUAGGUACAGGACCCGGCUCUACUAAUCAGCUCAGUAGGUAGUAGGUACAGGACCCGGCUCUACUAAUCAGCUCAGUAGGUAGUAGGUACAGCACCCGGCUCUUCUUAUCAGCUCAGUAGGUAGUAGGUACAGGACCCGGCUCUACUAAUCAGCUCAGUAGGUAGUAGGUACAGGACCCGGCUCUACUAAUCAGCUCAGUAGGUAGUAGGUACAGGACCCGGCUCUACUAAUCAGCUCAGUAGGUAGUAGGUACAGGACCCGGCUCUACUAAUCAGCUCAGUAGGUAGUAGGUACAGCACCCGGCUCUACUCAUCAGCUCAGUAGGUAGUAGGUACAGGACCCGGCUCUACUAAUCAGCUCAGUAGGUAGUAGGUACAGGACCCGGCUCUACUAAUCAGCUCAGUAGGUAGUAGGUACAGGACCCGGCUCUACUAAUCAGCUCAGUAGGUAGUAGGUACAGGACCCGGCUCUACUAAUCAGCUCAGUAGGUAGUAGGUACAGGACCCGGCUCUACUAAUCAGCUCAGUAGGUAGUAGGUACAGGACCCGGCUCUACUAAUCAGCUCAGUAGGUAGUAGGUACAGCACCCGGCUCUACUAAUCAGCUCAGCUCAGUAGGUAGUAGGUACAGGACCCGGCUCUACUAAUCAGCUCAGUAGGUAGUAGGUACAGCACCCGGCUCUACUAAUCAGCUCAGCUCAGUAGGUAGUAGGUACAGGACCCGGCUCUACUAAUCAGCUCAGUAGGUACAGCACCCGGCUCUUCUAAUCAGCUCAGUAGGUAGUA
Molecule: long non-coding RNA, 1668 nt
Organism: Coregonus clupeaformis (lake whitefish)
Lineage: Eukaryota; Metazoa; Chordata; Actinopteri; Salmoniformes; Salmonidae
Exons: 5
Source: RefSeq, a predicted model, not a curated record